GAGAAUAAUAAAAUAUAAUUUAUUUACCAAUCUUAUUAAUUAAUAUUUCAAAUGAGAUUGCUUUUUUUCUCAAGUACAUAAUGAUUGGUAUAGCAGUUAUUCAAUAUGCUACAAAGUUUUAGGGCUUCUCAUCAAUAGGUACAGGGUUGCAACAUGGAGGUCUAUGACAAACGACUGGGUCACAUGGCCACUCAGGCUUACAACAAGGAUUACCAUAUCUACCUUGUACAUUGCCAACAAAAAUACAUGCAAUAGCAACUAGUAAUACCACAAACUUAAAGAUCAACCUCAAUAGAGUUUCCAUCUUAACCAAACUUGGUUUACAAAGAAAGAGAAGAUGAAAAUGUUAUAAUGAAUGAU
This 360-nucleotide long non-coding RNA is filed under the name Cicer arietinum (chickpea). RNAcentral's name for it is "long non-coding RNA (CARI_LNC000555)". Lineage: Eukaryota; Viridiplantae; Streptophyta; Magnoliopsida; Fabales; Fabaceae. The record is from RNAcentral.